This 26-nucleotide non-coding RNA is filed under the name Mus musculus (house mouse). The record is from RNAcentral. Lineage: Eukaryota; Metazoa; Chordata; Mammalia; Rodentia; Muridae.
UAGGCAGAGCUGCUCCUUGUGCACAG